This 485-nucleotide ribosomal RNA is filed under the name uncultured bacterium. Its description in RNAcentral is "bacterial SSU rRNA". It matches the Rfam family "Bacterial small subunit ribosomal RNA", at positions 28 to 533 of the family's 1533-position model. The record is from RNAcentral.
GAUGAACGUUGGCGGUGUGCCUAAUACAUGCAAGUCGAACGGAGAUUGUAGCAAUACGGUCUUAGUGGCGAACGGGUGAGUAACGCGUUGGUGAUCUGCCUCGAAGUGUGGAAUAACGAUUCGAAAGAAUCGCUAAUACCGCAUAGUCUCUCUUUUUCCAGAAAUUUGAGAGUAAAGGAUUUAUUCGCUUUGAGAGGAGCCUGCGUCCCAUUAGCUAGUUGGUGAGGUAACGGCUCACCAAGGCGACGAUGGGUAGCCGGCCUGAGAGGGUGGACGGCCACACUGGAACUGAGACACGGUCCAGACUCCUACGGGAGGCAGCAGUGGGGAAUAUUGCACAAUGGGCGGAAGCCUGAUGCAGCGACGCCGCGUGAGUGACGAAGGCCUUCGGGUCGUAAACUCUGUCCUAAGGGACGAUAAUGACGGUACCUUAGGAGGAAGCCCCGGCUAACUACGUGCCAGCAGCCGCGGUAAGAGUACUCUAU